UACGAAGGGGGCUAGCGUUACUCGGAAUCACUGGGCGUAAAGGGUGCGUAGGCGGGUUUUUAAGUCAGGGGUGAAAUCCUGGAGCUCAACUCCAGAACUGCCUUUGAUACUGAAGAUCUUGAGUUCGGGAGAGGUGAGUGGAACUGCGAGUGUAGAGGUGAAAUUCGUAGAUAUUCGCAAGAACACCAGUGGCGAAGGCGGCUCACUGGCCCGAUACUGACGCUGAGGCACGAAAGCGUGGGGAGCAAACAGG
RNAcentral lists this ribosomal RNA (253 nucleotides) under uncultured bacterium. Its description in RNAcentral is "partial 16S ribosomal RNA". It matches the Rfam family "Bacterial small subunit ribosomal RNA", at positions 524 to 776 of the family's 1533-position model. The record is from RNAcentral.